Molecule: ribosomal RNA, 497 nt
Filed under: uncultured bacterium
Lineage: Bacteria
Description: partial 16S ribosomal RNA
Rfam family: Bacterial small subunit ribosomal RNA
Source: RNAcentral
GAUGAACGCUGGCGGCGUGCCUAAUACAUGCAAGUCGAGCGAACAGACGAGGAGCUUGCUCCUCUGACGUUAGCGGCGGACGGGUGAGUAACACGUGGAUAACCUACCUAUAAGACUGGGAUAACUUCGGGAAACCGGAGCUAAUACCGGAUAAUAUAUUGAACCGCAUGGUUCAAUAGUGAAAGGCGGUUUUGCUGUCACUUAUAGAUGGAUCCGCGCCGCAUUAGCUAGUUGGUAAGGUAACGGCUUACCAAGGCAACGAUGCGUAGCCGACCUGAGAGGGUGAUCGGCCACACUGGAACUGAGACACGGUCCAGACUCCUACGGGAGGCAGCAGUAGGGAAUCUUCCGCAAUGGGCGAAAGCCUGACGGAGCAACGCCGCGUGAGUGAUGAAGGUCUUCGGAUCGUAAAACUCUGUUAUUAGGGAAGAACAAAUGUGUAAGUAACUAUGCACGUCUUAACGGUACCUAAUCAGAAAGCCACGGCUAACUACGUG